Non-coding RNA from Cordylochernes scorpioides, 94 nucleotides. NCBI's taxonomy places the organism in Eukaryota, Metazoa, Arthropoda, Arachnida, Pseudoscorpiones, Chernetidae. The record is from the annotation of a GenBank genome assembly.
UCCAAGAUGAAACUUCGGAGGUCCAGGGGUGCAGGGGCUUCAAAUCUGUAACCGACGUUUAAAAGCGGAGUGGUUCAAUUCCACCUUCUGGGCG